AUACGUAGGUGACAAGCGUUAUCCGGAUUUACUGGGCGUAAAGGGCGUGUAGGCGGUCUUGCAAGUCAGGCGUGAAAUGCAAAGGCUCAACCAUUGAAUUGCGCUUGAAACUGUAAUUCUUGAGAGUGGGAGAGGUAAACGGAAUUCCUGGUGUAGUAGUGAAAUGCGUAGAUAUCAGGAGGAACACCGGUGGCGAAGGCGGUUUACUGGACCACAACUGACUCUGAGACACGAAAGCGUGGGGAGCAAACGGGAUUAGAGGCCCUGUUAGUCCACGCCGUAAACGAUGUCUACUAGCCGUUGGGGGAUUUGAUCCUUUAGUGGCGCAGCUAACGCGAUAAGUAGACCGCCUGGGGAGUACGGUCGCAAGACUAAAACUCAAAUGAAUUGACGGGG
RNAcentral lists this ribosomal RNA (396 nucleotides) under uncultured bacterium. Its description in RNAcentral is "partial 16S ribosomal RNA". It matches the Rfam family "Bacterial small subunit ribosomal RNA", at positions 523 to 918 of the family's 1533-position model. The record is from RNAcentral.